GAUUAGCUAGUUGGUGAGGUAACGGCUCACCAAGGCGACGAUCCCUAGCUGGUCUGAGAGGAUGACCAGCCACACUGGAACUGAGACACGGUCCAGACUCCUACGGGAGGCAGCAGUGGGGAAUAUUGCACAAUGGGCGCAAGCCUGAUGCAGCCAUGCCGCGUGUAUGAAGAAGGCCUUCGGGUUGUAAAGUACUUUCAGCGGGGAGGAAGGUGUUGUGGUUAAUAACCGCAGCAAUUGACGUUACCCGCAGAAGAAGCACCGGCUAACUCCGUGCCAGCAGCCGCGGUAAUACGGAGGGUGCAAGCGUUAAUCGGAAUUACUGGGCGUAAAGCGCACGCAGGCGGUCUGUCAAGUCGGAUGUGAAAUCCCCGGGCUCAACCUGGGAACUGCAUUCGAAACUGGCAGGCUUGAGUCUUGUAGAGGGGGGUAGAAUUCCAGGUGUAGCGGUGAAAUGCGUAGAGAUCUGGAGGAAUACCGGUGGCGAAGGCGGCCCCCUGGACAAAGACUGACGCUCAGGUGCGAAAGCGUGGG
Molecule: ribosomal RNA, 534 nt
Filed under: Salmonella enterica
Lineage: Bacteria; Pseudomonadati; Pseudomonadota; Gammaproteobacteria; Enterobacterales; Enterobacteriaceae
Description: bacterial SSU rRNA
Rfam family: Bacterial small subunit ribosomal RNA
Source: RNAcentral